This 82-nucleotide microRNA precursor is filed under the name Aotus nancymaae (Ma's night monkey). Its description in RNAcentral is "miRNA (ENSANAG00000007511.1)". The record is from RNAcentral. Lineage: Eukaryota; Metazoa; Chordata; Mammalia; Primates; Aotidae.
UUAGGUUGGUGCAAAAGUAAUUGUGGUUUUUCCCAUCAAAGUAUUGGCAAAAACACGUUACUUUUGCACCAACCUAAUAAAA